This is an RNA transcript of Dreissena polymorpha, 6608 nucleotides long. RefSeq lists it as uncharacterized. The transcript has 8 exons. The record is from RefSeq and is a predicted model, not a curated record. Lineage: Eukaryota; Metazoa; Mollusca; Bivalvia; Myida; Dreissenidae.
AGCGAGGAACGACAACUCUGCAUGGCGAUUAAAAAUACCAAUAGCAUUGUUUACUUCCGGUAGAGGCAGUGUGGGUAAUUCGCCAUUUACAUAAGUACUAAAUUAUUCGACGUCGUUGUCCUGUUUUAUAAACAGUGGUAUUAAGCAACGGUGUCCGGAACUCGGGAGUUUGACAAAAGUAACCGGAUGACAGUCAGUUCAAAGAUAUGAACACUGACGAAAACGAAUUGAAGAUAGGGGCUGUGUUCUCGCUGGCAAGUCCUGAGAAAGACGAGACUGACGUCACAUUCGAGAGCGCCGGGCCUAAAGAGGCCGUCGCAAUGGUGACCUACAACGACGACAGCAACGAGAGCAAUGGCAAAACGCCUACAACCGGUGACGAUAUGACGUCACCGGUGGACGAGAUGACGUCAUAUGUAAGCGACAUGACGUCAUCAAAAAUGUCAGCCAUCGCCGAUGAAGCUUUGCAUGACUCUCACCCGCACACAUCUGAGUCGCUUCUUUCAGCUGAACCUAAUACAUUUACCACGGAAACGAAUGACGAGAGUAUGCCAUCGUUGUCUCCGAUGAAACAGCAACCAUUAUCGUCGCCGACACGUAGCUUUAAAGCAACCGUCGCAGCCGCAAGCGAGGAUGAGUCACCGCCGCGUCUUCCGAAAGAGUAUUUUGUCGAUAAGUUGGUGGGAGAGGAUUUCAUGGGUAAUCAAGACAGCAUCGCCCCGCCAGUUUUGCGCCCUGAAGUUCCAUCGCUCACGAAGAUCAAGGCCUCCACACUUCUGCUCUGGAAUUUGGGAAGAUAUAGAAUCCCCUCUAGAUGCUUUCCUGAAAAGGCAACAGCUCUUGAAAAAGAUGAUUUUGUCCCGACUCCGUUACCGGCGAAGAAGCGAAAGAUCGACCCCUCUUACAUCGUGCUCACCAGCAUAGACCCCUGGCUGGGAACGCGGAGUAGCGUCACUUUGAGUGACUUCGCGCAUGCGCAGACCGAAUGCUCCAACAUGUGCAAGAAGAUCAGCUUUAAACGUCGACUGACGCGCGGAGAUGAUGUCUUCAACGUGAAAACGCCUAGUAAGCAAAAGGAUUACCAUGUGUAUCUAGAGAAGUUCGAGAAGAAUCAAGAAGUCAAUGCGUCUAAGAAACCUGGAGUAGGAAUCACAAUGAAGGACCUUUUGACCUUGAUAAAGGAUAACAAAUUACCGAGGCGCUCAAAGCGUCCCGCGAAGAGUUACUUAAAUCGGGUACGGAGAACUAUUGUUCAUGUUCCUGCAGACUUUAAGACAAGCGUCGCGACGGCGGAACUUGAACAAUUGGAAAUUCCGAAAGACAAUAAAAAAGCUUUGGAAAAUAAGGAAAAAGAACUAUGGGCGGAAAGACGAGAACGAGAAAAAGUCUGUGAACUUGAAACUCUUGGAAAGUUUAUUGAAAUCAAACGGAGAUGGAAUAAAAAAUUAAAAAGAUUGAAGUCAGCCCUGAAGCGUCCGGCAACUGUGACGGAAGGCACAAGAAGCUUGAGCGGGCGAGUGAGGAAGUCCAAUUCGCGGUACAGUGUCGGCUUCGUCUCGGAUAAAAUGGAACUAUUAGCGGAAGAAAUCAACGCUCGCAUGCUUGCGAAGAUAAAAUACGCCAGUGAGAUGAGUCGAUAUAAGCUUCGAAUUGAAGAAAACCGCCACUGCAAGGCGCUGGAAAGAUCUGUCUUGGAAAUGACCCAAUUACACAAAAAGCAGAAAGUCGACAUUGUUAUAGAACGUGUUGACGAGGUAGAUGUACCCAAAGAAGGUAAAAUAAAGACACAGACAGUGAGAAAUAACAAGAAACGGGUGUAUGGAAAGACUGGGACCGCGUUAAAUCGUACUGGUUUAAUGUUGGAUAUUGAAAACGAAAUCUGCACGCAAAGAGAAGCGUUGCGUAACGGAAAAGGCUUGUCAAAUAGUAAGGCUCAAAACAGUGCUGAAAGAAAACCGACAGACGGUGUUCUCAUACAAAACGCCCCUAACGAAAACUGCUACAUACGUAGCCUGUUAACAACAAAGUCAUUUUCGCCCGAUCUUUCGCGAGUGAAAUCCGAACCGAUGGAUAGUCAUGAUUUAGAUAAACAACCGAUGACGUUGUCAGACCUGAUGACGUCACAAGUACGCGUUUUCAAAACGGAGCUUAUAGAUAACGGUUACGAGCAGGCGAACGACGCUCUUAUUGAAGAAAAAUUCAAGAAAUUUAAAGUGCCAGACAAGGUCAAGCAAUUGUUUAUAAAUAAAUCGCAGUCGCAAAUUCCGACGGGGUAUCCAGCAUCUCCUUCCUGUGCUUCCGGGCAUGAUGUUAAUGUCUUCGAAACCAGUAAGUGGACACCCCCUGCAACCUCUUCGCAAUACCUGGUGAUUGAUAGUCCGGUAUUGCUACCCGGCGUCUCAACAUCUUCUGCAAACACGGUCGUAUAUCCCCAGCCGCUGACUUCCGGUGGGUACACGACCUUGCGAUUUGAAACUAACCAGUUGUCAACAUCUAAACAGCGUCUGACACUGACGAAAGUCACCACCGCCAAAAGUAACCAGACGGUUACAAGCCUGACAACAGCAGCGUCGAAACCGCCCGUAUCUACCGCCGCCAGUCAUGUAAUAACGAACACGCUACGCAGCAGUCAACAGAAUCAUCCGCCAUCUCCGCCGGUGUCGGCGAUUUUACCAAAACCAAACACAAGACCACAGGUGUUGUUCAUUCCAGUAACCACUACCGGACAAAUAGCUUCGGGCGGCGUGUUUCCAGUUCCCGUGCGCACACGAUUUCCAGUGGCGUCCCAAUCUUUAGUUCCAUCGUCAGUUAACGGCCAAUUGCUGGAAUCAUGCGUUAUCCACCAAGCGUCGCCAACGAGUAAGCUAGAAAACCCAUCGAUGCCGCAAAAAGUAACCGUAAUGUACUCCGCACACGACCCGAGUAAGCCCCCAGUGCAGACGGUAGGAAGCAUGCGGCCAAUUACGUUAUCCACAACUAGCACAGCGCCAAAAAGAGUAUCCUCGCUGUUACCGACAACCCUAAACGACGCAGAUGAUAAAACGCCAACAAACAGCAAUGCCAAAUUCUAUUUGCUGAAGGUCGACGGUAAGAACAUUCUCAUUCCGCUGGCGACGGACCAUUCACCGCCUGUGGCGUACGUCAUGAAUGGGACAUCGCUACUGAAGACAACCGCGCCCACGGCUAUGACGUCAACAAUAUUGUCUACCGCUCGGAACGUUUCUACAGUUUCUGUAGCGCCAAGAACCGCAUAUUCUGUUGGUGGAAAUAAAGCGUCAGCUGUGGAAACAACGUGUACUCAAAUAGCUCCGACUGUAAAAACCACGAGCUCAUCAACGGCUGCGAGCGCUACGAUAUUCUCGGCAACGUCACUAACCGUACCGUGUGUUGGUGCAAAUAAUACGUUAGUGUUGCAAUCGACUGCAACGUCACGCGUAGUCAAUUCACAAGGUACGUCGAAAACAACAUUGACUCAAAAGGCGCAGACUCUGAAAACAAUAAUGUCUGCUGGUGGAAAUACUGCGUCAGCUUUGCAAACAACGCGGACUCAAGUAGCUCCUACUAAAAACACGACGAACUCGGCCUCCAGUACUCAAACUGAUGCAUCGGCGAGAGUCUCUCAGAUAUACAACAGAUUCAUACAAACUGUUGGUCAAGUAACGUCGACGUCGAGUAAAUCGACGCAACCUUUAGCGAAGGUUAAUGCGUUUUUACGGCCGUCACAAAUAAACCAAUCGGGGAUCGUGUUACAGCUUCAGACUUUGAAGACCUCUAAGAAUGAGGGAAAUAAGUCCGAAUCGUCAAACGAUGACCUUGCGAUAUCUGACGGUCGGAACUCACCGUCUGACGUAAAAGAGACACAGCUUCAGACGUUAAAGACAAAGCUAGUGAAUAUGAAAUCGAAAUAUGAUGGAUCAGAAAAAACGGCGAUUCGCGACUUUUUAAAGGAUUUUAGAGGGGAGACUUCUGCGAAAGAAACGAUCUGUAAUUCAUCCCUCACGAAUACAUCUAGCGCUGAACAUAGCGCUAAGAAUACGACACAUCCGUCCGAACCGACAAAACAUAACCUUGUGACGUCUGACUUUACGACUUUAUCGGAAGAUGUCAAAGAAACAACAACCAAGCCGUUUUCUAGAAGGAAUAACGGCGAGAGAAGAACGAUUAAGAAAACUUAAAGAACUAUUGAAAGAAAAACAGAAAGCGGUGGACGAAAUUCGGCAACAAAAAGUCCUCACAAUGUUCUCCUCAGAGUAACGUCUGGGUAUAAUUCGAAGUCGAACCAAAGGCCAAGCUACCUUUCAAACGUUGCCGCCAUCGCCGGAAAAUAGUCGUUUGUCUGCGAGUUUUACAAGAAUUCGUGAAGCUGAAUAUCUGAACACGGCAUAUUGGCUUGUCUGCCAUCAUUGCCAGAAGACAUUCAACACGACCUUUGAUCUGAAUUGCCAUAUUCUAACGCACACAGGGGAAAAGCCAUUCGAAUGCAGUGUUUGUCAUAAACAAUUUAAUAGGAAAAGUGAUUUUAUACGUCACAUGUUGGUCCACACAGGAGAAAAGCCAUUUGAAUGCAGAGUGUGUCAUAAACACUUUACUCGUAACAGUGUUCUUAAGGAUCACAUGUUGUUGCACACAGGGGAAAUGCCGUUUGAAUGCGGUUUUUGUGAUAAACGAUAUAAUCGGAAAGGUAAACUUCAAGAUCACAUGUUCGUUCAUACAGGAGAAAAACCGUUUGAAUGCAGUGUUUGUCGUAAACAAUUUAGUCGUAAAAGUACUCUUAAGCAUCACAUAGAGUCGGUCCACAAAAAAGGCCUUCGUUUGUCAAAUAGGAUCAGCAAUGAAAAGCAUCCUUAAAGGCCAAAGCUUAGUCCACUGGAGUGCCUAUUGUUUGUGGAACAUUUGUGGGGGACAGAUACGCAAGACAAUAUGACACAUAUAGUUAUGAAUUCCAUUAAUAUUUUCUUUGUUUAACCAAUAUUUUGGUAUAAGGCCACCAAAAAAACUUUGCAUAGAAUGCCGUUUGAAUGUAGUGUUUGUGAUAAACAAUUUAAUCGGAAAGGUCAUCUUAAGUGUCACACAGAGUUGGUCUACAAAGGGGAAAAAGCCCAUUCGAAUGCAGUGUUUGUCACAAACAAUUUAGACUGAAAGGUCACCUUAUGGAUCACAUGUUUGUUUACAGAAGGGAAAAGCCAUUUGAAUGCAGUGUUUGUGAUAAUCAAUUUAGUCGAAAAAGUCAUCUUAAGCAUCAAAUUUAGGUUCAUACAGGGGAAAAGCCAUUGAAAUGCAGUGUUUGUCAUGAACAAUUUACUCGUAAAAGUGUUCUUAAGGAUCACAUGUCGGUCCACACAGGGGAAAAAAGUUUGAAUGUAGUGUUUGUGAUCAACAAUUUAGUCAGAAAAGUAAUCUUAAGCGUCACACAGAGUUGGUUCACAAAGAAGGCAAAGACGAUCAGCAAUGAAGAGCAUCCUUAAGGCUCAAAGUAUAGUCCACUUGAGUGCCUAUUGUUUGUGGAACACUUGUUGGGGAUGGAUACAGAAUGUGACACCUGUAGUAGUGUAUUCAAUUAAACUUUUCAUUGUUUUAACAAUAUUUUUGUAUAAGGCCCCCAACAAACUUUGCUAAACCGAAGUUUCGCAAACUUUACAACCUUUUUUCCUUUAACAUAUUCAUAUUGUAGAUAAGGCAUGCCAUAUUAAUGCUUCUUUGUGAUCAUUUAUUGAUUGUUUAUUUUUUACAUAAUAAUUCCAUUUCUUUUAUUAAAUAUUAUUUGUUUAAAAUAGCCUUUCCUAUGGGAUUUUUUUCACUUUAUUUCAUGGGAAUGUUUAAAAGCUUGUUUUCUUUUCGUUUUUAUGUAUUUAAACGUCAUUUAAGGACUGUAUAAUCAUUUUUUAGUUAUAAGGCAAAUCCUUUUUUUAAAAUGGGAAAAAACAAAUGUUUGUUCUUAUUUUGAAAGAUUUAUUCAUAUUACCUGCAGGAACAAUAUAUUUUAUCAAAUGAUACAUAUCACUUUUCUUGUUAUGUCCCAAACCACUAUAGUGGGGGACAUAUUGUUUUUGGCCUGUUGGUCUGUUUGUGCCAACUUUAACAUUUUGCAAUAACUUUUGCUAUAUUGAAGAUAGUUACUUUAUAUUUGGCAUGCAUGUGUAUCUCAAGGAGCUGCACAUUUUGAGUGGUAAAAGGUCAAGGUCAUCCUUCAAGGUCAAAGGUCAAAAAUAUUUAGUCAAAGCGGCGCAGAAGGGGACAUAGUGUUUCUGACAAACACAUUUCUUGUUUAUAUAUAUUUGUUUCCACAGCAACCAGAAUUCUUGACUUAGGAACAAAAUGAAAUGACGUACAUAAUCUCCAUUAUGCCAAUUGCCCAUGUUUCAAGUUUCAUGAAAACAUGUGAAGAAUUUAAAGUUAUCGCAGGAUCCAGAAAAGUGUGACAGACAGACUGAAAGAAAGAGUGCAAACCAUUAGUCCCCUCUGGUGAAGGGGACAAUAAUACAGUAAAAAAACUCGAAGACGAUGGUAGCGAGAAAAAUACUUCGAAGUGGAUCUUUGAUUUAUUUGAAUUAUACGUGCAUUUGUAUUUGUAAUAGCAAUUCAGUUCAAUAAAACAGUUCUAAAACUAA